This 637-nucleotide ribosomal RNA is filed under the name uncultured bacterium. Its description in RNAcentral is "bacterial SSU rRNA". It matches the Rfam family "Bacterial small subunit ribosomal RNA", at positions 202 to 842 of the family's 1533-position model. The record is from RNAcentral.
UAAAGAUUCAUCGUUGAUAGAUAGGCAUGCGUUCCAUUAGGCAGUUGGCGGGGUAACGGCCCACCAAACCGACGAUGGAUAGGGGUUCUGAGAGGAAGGUCCCCCACAUUGGUACUGAGACACGGACCAAACUCCUACGGGAGGCAGCAGUGAGGAAUAUUGGUCAAUGGGCGUAAGCCUGAACCAGCCAAGUCGCGUGAGGGAUGAAGGUUCUAUGGAUCGUAAACCUCUUUUAUAAGGGAAUAAAGUGUGGGACGUGUCCUGUUUUGUAUGUACCUUAUGAAUAAGGAUCGGCUAACUCCGUGCCAGCAGCCGCGGUAAUACGGAGGAUCCGAGCGUUAUCCGGAUUUAUUGGGUUUAAAGGGUGCGUAGGCGGCCUUUUAAGUCAGCGGUGAAAGUCUGUGGCUCAACCAUAGAAUUGCCGUUGAAACUGGGAGGCUUGAGUAUGUUUGAGGCAGGCGGAAUGCGUGGUGUAGCGGUGAAAUGCUUAGAUAUCACGCAGAACCCCGAUUGCGAAGGCAGCCUGCCAAGCCAUGACUGACGCUGAUGCACGAAAGCGUGGGGAUCAAACAGGAUUAGAUACCCUGGUAGUCCACGCAGUAAACGAUGAUCACUAGCUGUUUGCGAUACAGUGUAA